RNAcentral lists this long non-coding RNA (3916 nucleotides) under Olea europaea (common olive). RNAcentral's name for it is "long non-coding RNA (OEUR_LNC007088)". The record is from RNAcentral. Lineage: Eukaryota; Viridiplantae; Streptophyta; Magnoliopsida; Lamiales; Oleaceae.
AGCCAGCACAUCACUUCUUUCUAUCUCUCACACAUACGAAAACAGCACAUGUGCAAACAGAUAUGAAUACAAGACAAUUGGAAACACCACAAAAUUCAAAUCGUAUAUACAUCACAACAUAAGAUGAGUAUUCAACGUUGGAAAUCAUAUGCCAACACAUUCUCAAAGAUUUCUCGUCCACUAUGUCAUUCAUAGACAACCGUAAAUCUAUUUUUCUUUGAUGGUUAUGAAGAUAACUUCAUUAUCUGCCCGACAAAUAUGGACUUGCAUUUGUUCUCCCUUAUCUUACGAAGUAGACCAUGUGGUAACCAGCUAAGUCAAGACGAAGCAAGAGGCCAAACAACACUCAACUGUGGUUGGGCAAUUAGAUGAGGUUCUUGGGCACCUCCUCCAAAGUGGUUGGCCAUCUCUCCUGGUGUGUUCCUUUGAAGUGAUUCUUUCGAGGUAAUCUCAUCGGAUGAUGUUGAAUUUUUGUUGAUACAUAAAAAAUUUCGGGGUGAUUAUAUUUAACAUUUUGAGUUUUAUUAAUAGGUUUCGGCUAAUAUUUAAUUAGCACUUCAAGUUUGGAACCAAAUCAAAAGUUCGACCCCAAAACUUAAUCAGGCACUGGCCCAUUUGGUUGUUAUAGCCCUUUAAACUGUGGAGUGUUAGACCAAAUUUUGGGCUUCGCACAUUUGUGUGGUUUACCAAACCAAGCUCUUGUUUGAGCCCCAUUUUUUUCCAUUAAAAUGUAUUCUUGAAAAAUGAUUUGACCUUAUUUUAAAUACACAUUUUACAAUAAAAUAAUGUUACUCGAAAGCCCAAAAAUCUUUCUUCUUUUUUAAUUAUACAUUCUCCAUCAUAACACUAUUGCAAAAUACUUUUUUGAAAAACAAAAAAAAAGGGCUCAAAGGAUACACACACACACACAUUUCUUUUUAAAUUGUUUAAGUGUGGAAAUUAAGAGAAAUCGAAAGCAGCGGCCAUAUCUUUCUCCCUUUGUUUGUAAGCGGCUUUUGUUUAAUCUUGUGUACGCUCUCUCUUCUCUUUGUGAUGCUACCUUCACCUUCCUUUUGUGGGAAAAACAUUUUGUGGAUACAUGGGCAAUCUUAGUGGUAUUGUUGGUUGAGCUUUAUGGUGUUGGAGUAAUCUUAUGGUGGAUUAAACUAAGCCAUAAACAUUAAGAUUUCAAGCAACGUAACGGCUAAACAUUAUGAUUAACACUUUGGGCCCAAUGAUGAAACCCAGUACUUGAGCCCAAUUAUGGAAUGUGACCUGGCUACCUCCCGUUUGAGCAUUCUCUCAUUCUUCCUACAAAAUUAAAGAAAUUGGUAAGAUUGUCUUUAAACUAGCAAAUGGGAAUGUACUGAUCUUGAAUAAGAUCAGAUAUAUAACUAACUUAAAGAAAUUUUGAUCUUUUUAGGUACACUUAAUGAUAAAGGUUUUGAUACAAUCAUAAAUAAAGGCAUUUUGGAAAUUUAAAAGAAUUUUGAAAAAGUUAUUCAUGUUGAAAAAUCAAAUGGGAUCUAUGUCUUGAAAGCUUUACCCUUACUAAACCAGUUUUAUUACUGUUACAGUUUCUCAAUCUGACAAAUCUGAAAUUUGAUACAAAAAACUUGGACAUAUUAUUGAUAAUAAUUAACAUAUUCUUAAGAAACAAGGCCAUUUAGGAAAUGAAAGGAUUGAAAGAAAAUCUUUUUGUGAACACUGUAUCUACGGGAAGAAAAAGAAAUUGCCUUUUGCUACUGGUAUUCAUAACUUAAAGUUUAUUCUUGAUUACUUAGAUGCCGAUCUGUGGGGACCAGUUACUAUAAGUACUUAUUAUGGUUACAAAUAUUACCUCCUUAUCAUUGAUGAUAAUUCAAAAAAAAAGUUCGAUCAUUCUUUCAAAAAAUAAAUCUGACACCUUCCAAAAUGAAUAUCAAGUAAACAAAAAUGUUAAAGUUCUUAAAACUGAAAAUGGCCUUGAAUUUUUCAAUGAAGAGUUUGACAAUUUCUGUAAAUAUAAUGGGAUCCUUAAACAUAUGAGUUGAUCCACAACAUAAUGGGCGAGUAGAAAGGACGAAUAAGACUUUGUUAGAAAAUGUGAGAUGCAUGUUGAUAAGCUCAGGUCUUCCAAAACUGUUCUAGAAGAAGCUGUUAAAACUACCUCAUAUUUAAUAAAUAAGUGUCCCACAAAAUCAUCGAAUUAUGAUACAUCCAAUCAUGUUUGGAAGGGUUAUCCUAUUGAUUAUUCCAAACUAUAGGUUUUUGGUUGUGCUUCAUAUGUACACCAAAAUGAAGGAAAACUUGAGCCCAGAUUUGUUAAAGGGAUUUUCUUAGGAUAUGGUGAAGGUGUCAAAAGUUAUAGAAUCUGGUUGAAAGAUCCGGGAGGCUAUAGAGUCAUAAUAAGUAGGAAUGUUAUCUUCAAUGAGAUGGACAUGCCCUGUACUGAAGAAAAAAAAUUGCUACCUUUGAAAAUGAUCAAAAUAGAUCUUUUAUACAAUCUGAACUUUUUCCAACUAAUUUAAAUCCUGGAAAUAACGAUCAAAUUGAGGUGGACCCUAUCCAACAACAAGAUACUGUUAUUGAACCUAAACCUGGACCUGUUAUUGAACCUUUAUCUGAUCUACUUGUAAAUCCCAUAGAAGAUUAUCAUCUAGCGAGAUAUAGAGUAAGAGGGGGAAAUAAAACCACCAUAAAGAUAGGAUGAAACCUAAUUCUGUUACUGCACUUAAUGUUCAAAAUUUUUUAGACAAUGAGCCUAACUCCUACGAUGAUGCCAUUAGAGGAAAAAAAAUGCAAGUUUCUGGCUUGCAGCCAUGGAAGUUGAAAUGCUUUCACUAGUUAAGAAUAAGACUUGGGUCUUAGUCAGUAAACCAAAAUGGCAAAGGGUUAUUGAUUGUAAAUGGGUUUAUAAGAUAAAAUAAAGGUGAAAAUGUGAGCUUCAAGGCAGAUUAGUUGCUAAGAAUUUUAACCAAAGAGAGGGAAUUGACUACAAUGAAAAUUUUUCUCCUAUAGUCAAAUAUACCUUUAUAUGGAUCUUACCUUCUCUUUCUUUACAACUCGAUUUUGAAUUGGAAAAAAUAGAUUUGAAAACUGUCCUCUUGCAUGGAAACUUAGAUGAAAAAAUCUACAUGACUCAACCAAAAGAUUUUGAACAAAAAGAAAAAGAAAACUGUGUGUUUUUCACAAAAAUCACUUUGUGGUAUAAAACAAGCCAUUAGAUAAUGGUACAUCAGGUUUGAUACUUUCAUAAAAUGACUUAACUUUAAUAGAAGUGAAUAUGAUCCAUGUUUCUAUUAUAAAGGUAAUGGAGGUCCUGGUUCCUAUUAUCUUUUGUUAUAUGUUGAUGAAAUGUUACUUCCCAGGUGUGAUGUAAAUAAGAUAAAUAAUAUUAAGUAAAAGUUAAAACAAGAAUUUGAAAUGAAAGAUAUAGGUUCUGUAAAAAGGAUUCUAGGAAUGGAAAUUAGAAGAAAUAGCGCUUAUGAUAGCCUGUUUCUUACACAACAAUCAUAUGUAUAUAAUGAUCUGUACCAAACCUGACCUUGCCUUUGCUGUAAGGUUUUUAAUUAGAUACAUGAAUAAUCCUGGUGAAUGUCAUUGGGAAGCCAUGAAAUGAUUGUUAAGAUACUUAAAAUGAACAUCUAACUUAGGGCUGAUGUUUAAUAGAGGUAAGGCUGGAAUUAAACUAAAAAAUUUUGUUAAUUCAAACUUUGUUAGUAACUGUGAUAAUAGAAAGUCUACAUCUAUUUACUCUAAAUGAUAUCUGCAUAAGUUGAAAAUCUUAACUGCAAAAUAUUGUAGCUCUAUCAUCAACAGAGGCUGGAUAUAUUGCAACCAUAGAUGCGGUGAAGGAAGGUAUAUAGCUAAAAAACUUGUUGGACGAAAUUGAUUUUUCUGGUAAUAAUGUUGUUAUAUGAUUUGACAGUCAAUCUGCUAUAUAUCCUUAUGUAAA